Molecule: long non-coding RNA, 1073 nt
Organism: Ostrinia furnacalis (Asian corn borer)
Lineage: Eukaryota; Metazoa; Arthropoda; Insecta; Lepidoptera; Crambidae
Exons: 3
Source: RefSeq, a predicted model, not a curated record
AGUCCGGAUAUUUCUUCGGAGCACUCCCCGUGAUACAUGCGAUAGAAGAUGCACAGUGAGGAUACAUCUCUACGCAGCGCCAAGGGGUCAAGCGGAUCCGAAAUGUCCUGGCAGUCAACGAUUCGAGCUGCUCUCCGUUCAAUGCGGUCCAGAGGGAGAAGCUGGUACUGGGGCGCACCUGACCAAAGGGGGGCCUCCGGUACCCUCACUCACUCGGCGAAACACAACACAAGUGCUGCUUCACGCCGGUUUUCUGUGAGGCCGUGGUAUCACUCCGGUCGAGUCGGCCCAUUCGUGCCGAAGCAUGGCUUUCCCACGAUAUAAAUGUCACGAAAGCACGCGAGAAAACUUGUGUAGUGUAGUGUUGUAGUUUGGUUUGAAACAUAACAAUACCGCACCUUCCCGCAGCACGCCUGCCAGCACGCGCUCGGCCAGCCCGGCCAGCACGCCGCCCGCCAAGCGCGCCCGGACACACACCAGCGGCCGCUGGCUGCGCGUGAGUGCCGAGGUGCACGCGGCGCCGCGCGCGCGCUCGCAGGCUGCCCGCUGGAGCAGCGGCAGCAGGCGCCCGUCGGAAUCGCCGCGCGGGCGCGACCGCACGCCGAAACAAACUUGAUGCCUUUUGUAGUCCGUUGGACUACAAAAAGCAGAUAUGCAGGACUGUAUUGUAACUUUUUGUACGUGUUCAUUGCAUUUAGCAAGCUUUACGAAGCCUUUUUUAUGUUAUAAUUAAGUUUAAGUUUUUUUUGUAUGUUUAUUUUUACGUAUUGCUCUCCUAAAUACAUUUACUUAAUAAUGUAUAGCUUUUUUGAUGUUAUAUGAACAUUACACAUUUGAUGUGUAUUGUUCUCUGUUUCAUGUUUUUUUGUUAAAUUUUAUAAUAGAACUAGAAACUAGAUAUAGACCAGUUUUCAUAACCUACAUGUUGAUUGUGUAAUAGUAUUUUUGGAAAUGUAUAAGCUCGGAAGAAUUAUACGUUUUUGUGAACAAAAUGUAAUAUCAGCUAUUUGAAGAGUGUUCCACUUUUGUUGUUUUGUUACUCUACAUAAGAAUCGUAAUUUACUACUAACGUG